AAAUUUCGGAAUGUCUUGUAUGUCAGUUCACCGCAUUGCAAGCACAUAUGCCUGCGGUUCCAUGAAUCAGUUCAUCAAUAUCUACUCAUUAAAGGGCAAUUUGAUCAACACAAUACGCAUCUAUGAAGGAUUCAUGGGCCACAGGAUAGGUCCGGUAACCUGUUUGAAUUAUCAUCCAUACAAAAUUGCUUUAGCGGCAGGAACUUCUGAUUGUUGUAUCAAUGUUUAUACUCUCGAAGGAAAGAGGUGACGGGAUUCACAGCCCUAGACCUUAUUUUGGGGCCUUUGGGGUUCCUAACAACACCGCCGACCUUAGACAAGUGUUUGUAAAUUCUUCCUCAAUAGUUUGAAUAAUUAUCUCAUCAAUAUUUCUUACUGCGAAAAAGAGUUUUAUGUUGUUGAUGAUACUGUUCUUGACAUAUUUUAGGUUUUAUGAACUGGUUAACUGGAAAGGGAAAUUAAUUAGAAGGUUCAGAAAGUGUUAUUUAGAUGUCUAGUACAGUUGAGAAAUAAUUAUUUUCACAGUUUUAGUGUGUAACAAUUUGUUCAUGUCAGAUAACCAGAAAUGCAAUAAUCUUCUCAACAGGUGUUUCAACAACCAAGUUGGCAUCUUCAGUUUUCUUCAUCUCCUGAAGAGGCCAACUUGGUUGGUGAAAUGCAUGUUGAGAAAAGUUUGCAUUCCUGGUGACUAGGAGAAGUGAUUAUUUUACACCAGAGCUUCCAGUUUCAACUUUCAUCAGAUAAUGCUAACUUAAAAGCUAGUUUGAGAGCACUUGCCAAUCGCCUCUUGGAAAAAGAUAUUACUUGUGAAUUGGAUUUUAUUUUAUAUUUUCUAACAUUUACAUCACAGGCUAUUUUUUGUCAAUUAGUAAUGGAUUUAGUGAGCCCAAUUACUACAAAUAACAUUUGAUUGAGAAUGGCAAAAUUAUUUUAAUUUCAUAUCCCUCUGAAAAUGUUUUUUUUGUCAAUUAGUAAUGGAUUUAGUGAGCCCAAUUUCUACAAAUAACAUUUGAUUGAGAAUGGCAAAAUUAUUUGAAUUUCAUAUACCUCUGAAAAUGUUGAAAAUUGAGAACGGCUGAAAAUAUUUUGAAAAAGUUAUUCAAUUCAUGAUUUAUCAAAACAUUACCGUUUGUAGGACUGGUAAUCAUAUUUCCCAAGGAGUAUUACAUUUAUAAUAUAACUGUCCCAUUACUUAUGCUAUUAUUAACCUGUAAUAGGAGAGCCUUCAUCUUUUAGAAAAAAAAUCAAAAAAUCAACUAGUUUGGAAGAAUGUCAAUAGUCCCCAUUCAUAUGAGUUCACCAAGGAAUGUAAUAUAUUGAUUUAAAACACUCUUCUGUUUUCAAAUGCUGUAGAUUGCAGGGAGGUAAAAGAGGUUUUUUUGAAUAAUUUAUUUUUCUAUGAUAAAUACAUGUAACUGAUUUGAGUUUUUCAU
Molecule: long non-coding RNA, 1433 nt
Organism: Leptinotarsa decemlineata (Colorado potato beetle)
Lineage: Eukaryota; Metazoa; Arthropoda; Insecta; Coleoptera; Chrysomelidae
Gene: raptor
Source: RefSeq, a predicted model, not a curated record